ACCCAGGCGGGGGCCCAUGGACCCUAGUGAGUACCCCCUGCAGGCCUGGGGAGGGGGGUCCCCCCACAGAGACCCCGGCCUCUACCCCAGCCCCCCGCAGCCCACCUACCACCACCCGCACCUCCACCCGGCGUACCCCUCCAGAGACGGAUACCCCCAGCAGGGGGGCGACCCGCGCCAGGCCGACCCAGGGUACUACCCUCCUCCCCCCGUCCAGCCGAGGGGCCCCCUGAGGCAGGACGUGCCCCCCUCCCCCCCGUGCCCGUGCGCGCCCCCCGGUACGACACCCUCAACCGGGGCCCGCCGGGCGGGGGCGGGGGCGGGGGCGGGGGCUACAGGCAGGCCAGCCCGGAGCGCUACGCCUACGGAGACCCUCGGCAGACGAGUGCCAUGACCGCCGCCGUGUAGUGGAGCUCCAGCCAACCAAACCAAACCAGACAACACGGUUGAUGAUGUGUGUCUGUGUGUGUGUGUGUGUGUGUGUGUGUGUGUGUGUGUAUAUGUAAACCUAAGCAUGUUCAUUCAUAUCUGUGUGUGCUCAGGAAUGUGCCUUGUGUGCUUGCAGGUGUGUAUAACAGGAGAACGUGUAUGUGUGUGUGUGUGUGUGUGUGUGCAUGCAUGCAUGUGUGUUUAUGUGACCAAACUCAACACAUGUACAGUGUGUGUGUGUGUGUGUGUGUGUGUGUGUGUGUGUGUGUGUGUGUGUGUGAGAGAGAG
Long non-coding RNA from Clupea harengus (Atlantic herring), 717 nucleotides. NCBI's taxonomy places the organism in Eukaryota, Metazoa, Chordata, Actinopteri, Clupeiformes, Clupeidae. The record is from Ensembl.